Molecule: transfer RNA, 72 nt
Filed under: Heterocephalus glaber (naked mole-rat)
Lineage: Eukaryota; Metazoa; Chordata; Mammalia; Rodentia; Bathyergidae
Rfam family: tRNA
About the family: Transfer RNA (tRNA) molecules are approximately 80 nucleotides in length. Their secondary structure includes four short double-helical elements and three loops (D, anti-codon, and T loops).
Source: Rfam by way of RNAcentral
GGGGGUACAGCUCAGUGGUACAGCACAUGCUUAGCAUGUAUGAGGCCUUGGGUUCAUUUCCCAGCAUCACCA